UACAGAGGGGGCUAGCGUUGUUCGGAAUUACUGGGCGUAAAGCGUGCGUAGGCGGUUUGCCGUGUCCUGUGUGAAAGCCCCGGGCUCAACCUGGGAAUUGCAUGGGAAACUGGCAGGCUUGAGUGUGGCAGAGGAGGGUGGAAUUCCGCGUGUAGCAGUGAAAUGCGUAGAGAUGCGGAGGAACACCGAUGGCGAAGGCAGCCCUCUGGGCCAACACUGACGCUCAGGCACGAAAGCGUGGGGAGCAAACAGG
Molecule: ribosomal RNA, 253 nt
Filed under: uncultured bacterium
Lineage: Bacteria
Description: partial 16S ribosomal RNA
Rfam family: Bacterial small subunit ribosomal RNA
Source: RNAcentral